RNAcentral lists this ribosomal RNA (425 nucleotides) under uncultured bacterium. RNAcentral's name for it is "partial 16S ribosomal RNA". It matches the Rfam family "Bacterial small subunit ribosomal RNA", at positions 354 to 796 of the family's 1533-position model. The record is from RNAcentral.
GUGGGGAAUAUUGGACAAUGGGCGCAAGCCUGAUCCAGCAAUGCCGCGUGGGUGAAGAAGGUCUUCGGAUCGUAAAGCCCUUUCGACAGGGACGAUGAUGACGGUACCUGUAGAAGAAGCCCCGGCUAACUUCGUGCCAGCAGCCGCGGUAAUACGAAGGGGGCUAGCGUUACUCGGAAUUACUGGGCGUCAAGGGCGCGUAGGCGGCUCUGUUAGUCAGGCGUGAAAUUCCUGGGCUUAACCUGGGGACUGCGCUUGAUACUGCAGGGCUUGAGGCCGAGAGAGGGUGGUGGAAUUCCCAGUGUAGAGGUGAAAUUCGUAGAUAUUGGGAAGAACACCGGUGGCGAAGGCGACCACCUGGCUCGGUUCUGACGCUGAGGCGCGACAGCGUGGGGAGCAAACAGGAUUAGAAACCCCGGUAGUCC